CAAUACAGUUGAUGGCGACCGGCAAACGGGUGCGGAACACGUACACAACCUUCCUUCGAGUGGGGAAUAGCCCGGGGAAACCCGGAUUAAUACCCCGUAACAUAAUGAAGUGGCAUCACUUUAUUAUUAUAGCUCCGGCGCUUGAAGAUGGGUGUGCGACUGAUUAGGCAGUUGGCGGGGUAACGGCCCACCAAACCUACGAUCAGUAACUGGUGUGAGAGCACGACCAGUCACACGGGCACUGAGACACGGGCCCGACUCCUACGGGAGGCAGCAGUAAGGAAUAUUGGUCAAUGGACGCAAGUCUGAACCAGCCAUGCCGCGUGGAGGAUGAAGGUCCUCUGGAUUGUAAACUUCUUUUAUCUGGGAAGAAAUCCAUGAAUUCUUUUGUGGUUGACGGUACCAGAUGAAUAAGCACCGGCUAACUCCGUGCCAGCAGCCGCGGUAAUACGGAGGGUGCAAGCGUUAUCCGGAUUCACUGGGUUUAAAGGGUGCGUAGGUGGGCAGGUAAGUCAGUGGUGAAAUCUCCGGGCUUAACUCGGAAACUGCCAUUGAUACUAUCUUUCUUGAAUACCGUGGAGGUCAGCGGAAUAUGUCAUGUAGCGGUGAAAUGCUUAGAUAUGACAUAGAACACCAAUUGCGAAGGCAGCUGGCUACACGAAUAUUGACACUGAUGCACGAAAGCGUGGGGAUCAAACAGGAUUAGAUACCCUGGUAGUCCACGCCCUAAACGAUGGAUACUCGACAUACGCGAUAUACUGUGUGUGUCUGAGCGAAAGCAUUAAGUAUCCCACCUGGGAAGUACGAUCGCAAGAUUGAAACUC
RNAcentral lists this ribosomal RNA (824 nucleotides) under uncultured Sphingobacteriales bacterium. RNAcentral's name for it is "bacterial SSU rRNA". It matches the Rfam family "Bacterial small subunit ribosomal RNA", at positions 77 to 902 of the family's 1533-position model. Lineage: Bacteria; Pseudomonadati; Bacteroidota; Sphingobacteriia; Sphingobacteriales. The record is from RNAcentral.